AAUGAAUACUAAUAUUAUAAAUGCGAAAGUGUGUCUUGUUUUGGUGGUUGGUUUCUCCUUCAGUCACGUCGCAACAUAGCAACGGAUUGAUGUG
Maniola jurtina (meadow brown) is the source of this 94-nucleotide long non-coding RNA. RefSeq lists it as uncharacterized. NCBI's taxonomy places the organism in Eukaryota, Metazoa, Arthropoda, Insecta, Lepidoptera, Nymphalidae. The transcript has 2 exons. The record is from RefSeq and is a predicted model, not a curated record.